RNAcentral lists this ribosomal RNA (468 nucleotides) under uncultured bacterium. Its description in RNAcentral is "partial 16S ribosomal RNA". It matches the Rfam family "Bacterial small subunit ribosomal RNA", at positions 28 to 507 of the family's 1533-position model. The record is from RNAcentral.
GACGAACGCUGGCGGCGGGCUUAACACAUGCAAGUCGAACGGAAAGGCCCUGCUUUUUUGGGGUGCUCGAGUGGCGAACGGGUGAGUAACACGUGAGUAACCUGCCCUUGACUUUGGGAUAACUUCAGGAAACUGGGGCUAAUACCGUAUAGGAGCUCCUGCUGCAGGGUGGGGGUUGGAAAGUUUCGGCGGGUGGGGAUGGACUCGCGGCUGAUCAGCUUGUUGGUUGGGUAGUGGCUUACCAAGGCUUUGGCGGGUAGCCGGCCUGAGAGGGUGACCGGGCACCUUGGGACUGCGAUACGGCCCAGAGUCCUACGGGAGGCAGCAGUGGGGAAUAUUGCCCAAUGGGCGGAAGCCGGAUGCAGCAACGCCGCGUGCGGGAUGACGGCCUUUGGGUUGUAAACCGCUUUAGCCUGUGACGACGCGUGAGUGACGGUAAUGGGUAAAGAAGCACCGGCUAACUACGUG